GGAAGGAGCUUGCUCUUUCCGGAUGAGUUGCGAACGGGUGAGUAACGCGUAGGUAACCUGCCUGGUAACGGGGGAUAACUAUUGGAAACGAUAGCUAAUACCGCAUAACAGUAGAUAUCGCAUGAUAGCUGCUUAAAAGGUGCAAUUGCACCACUACCAGAUGGACCUGCGUUGUAUUAGCUAGUUGGUGAGGUAACGGCUCACCAAGGCAACGAUACAUAGCCGACCUGAGAGGGUGAUCGGCCACACUGGGACUGAGACACGGCCCAGACUCCUACGGGAGGCAGCAGUAGGGAAUCUUCGGCAAUGGACGGAAGUCUGACCGAGCAACGCCGCGUGAGUGAAGAAGGUUUUCGGAUCGUAAAGCUCUGUUGUAAGAGAAGAACGAGUGUGAGAGUGGAAAGUUCACACUGUGACGGUAUCUUACCAGAAAGGGACGGCUAACUACGUGCCAGCAGCCGCGGUAAUACGUAGGUCCCGAGCGUUGUCCGGAUUUAUUGGGCGUAAAGCGAGCGCAGGCGGUUAGAUAAGUCUGAAGUUAAAGGCUGUGGCUUAACCAUAGUACGCUUUGGAAACUGUUUAACUUGAGUGCAAGAGGGGAGAGUGGAAUUCCAUGUGUAGCGGUGAAAUGCGUAGAUAUAUGGAGGAACACCGGUGGCGAAAGCGGCUCUCUGGCUUGUAACUGACGCUGAGGCUCGAAAGCGUGGGGAGCAAACAGGAUUAG
Molecule: ribosomal RNA, 724 nt
Filed under: uncultured Streptococcus sp.
Lineage: Bacteria; Bacillati; Bacillota; Bacilli; Lactobacillales; Streptococcaceae
Description: bacterial SSU rRNA
Rfam family: Bacterial small subunit ribosomal RNA
Source: RNAcentral